RNAcentral lists this ribosomal RNA (443 nucleotides) under uncultured bacterium. RNAcentral's name for it is "partial 16S ribosomal RNA". It matches the Rfam family "Bacterial small subunit ribosomal RNA", at positions 338 to 795 of the family's 1533-position model. The record is from RNAcentral.
ACUACGGGGGGCUGCAGUGGGGGAUAUUGGGCAAUGGGGGGAACCCUGAUCCAGCGACGCCGCGUGAGUGAAGAAGUAUUUCGGUAUGUAAAGCUCUGUCAGCAGGGAAGAAAGAAAUGACGGUACCUGACCAAGAAGCCCCGGCUAACUACGUGCCAGUAGCCGCGGUAAUACGUAGGGGGCAAGCGUUAUCCGGAGUUACUGGGGGUAAAGGGAGCGUAGACGGUUAAGUAAGUCUGGAGUGAAAGGCCGGGGCCAAACCCCGGGACUGCUCUGGAAACUAUUGAACUUGAGUGCAGGAGAGGGAAGGGGAAUUCCUGGUGUAGCGGUGAAAUGCGUAGAUAUUAGGAGGAACACCAGUGGCGAAGGCGGCUUACUGGACUGUAACUGACGUUGAGGCUCGAAAGCGUGGGGAGCAAACAGGAUUAGAUACCCGAGUAGUC